Molecule: non-coding RNA, 120 nt
Organism: Aspergillus niger
Lineage: Eukaryota; Fungi; Ascomycota; Eurotiomycetes; Eurotiales; Aspergillaceae
Source: Rfam
ACAUACGACCAUAGGGUGUGGAAAAUAGGGCUUCCCGUCCGCUCAGCCGUACUCAAGCCACACGCCGGGAGGUUAGUAGUUGGGUGGGUGACCACCAGCGAAUCCCUUCUGUUGUAUGUU